GAUGAACGCUGGCGGCGUGCCUAAUACAUGCAAGUCGAGCGAACAGACGAGGAGCUUGCUCCUCUGACGUUAGCGGCGGACGGGUGAGUAACACGUGGAUAACCUACCUAUAAGACUGGGAUAACUUCGGGAAACCGGAGCUAAUACCGGAUAAUAUAUUGAACCGUAUGGUUCAAUAGUGAAAGACGGCUUUGCUGUCACUUAUAGAUGGAUCCGCGCCGCAUUAGCUAGUUGGUAAGGUAACGGCUUACCAAGGCUACGAUGCGUAGCCAACCUGAGAGGGUGGUCGGCCACACUGGAGCUGAGACACGGUCCAGGCUCCUACGGGAGGCAGCAGUAGGGAAUCUUCCGCAAUGGGCGAAAGCCUGACGGAGCAGCGCCGCGUGAGUGAUGAAGGUCUUCGGAUCGUAAAACUCUGUUAUUAGGGAAAAACAAAUGUGUAAGUAACUAUGCACGUCUUGACGGUACCUAAUCAGAAAGCCACGGCUAACUACGUG
RNAcentral lists this ribosomal RNA (497 nucleotides) under uncultured bacterium. RNAcentral's name for it is "partial 16S ribosomal RNA". It matches the Rfam family "Bacterial small subunit ribosomal RNA", at positions 28 to 507 of the family's 1533-position model. The record is from RNAcentral.